Molecule: non-coding RNA, 300 nt
Organism: Linepithema humile (Argentine ant)
Lineage: Eukaryota; Metazoa; Arthropoda; Insecta; Hymenoptera; Formicidae
Source: RefSeq, a predicted model, not a curated record
CGGGACCACACGAGAUUUCGCGGGUCGAAGCGACUGUCAAUAUAUUCGCGGAUGGAAGAAUUGUAGCACUUUGAGCCGUGCUUAUAUAAGAGUGUAAAAUGUGAAACGGUUACCGGCCGGCGCACCGAAUUCAUAGGUUAGGACGGCAUGUAUACAUAUUUCGUAACCGCAACAAGUGUUUUUCGGAUAAGUAUGUCAACUAAUGCUUCUCAGAACGAGAAAGUAUGGAGUUAGAAAAAUCGUUGCCUAUUGUACGCUCCUCCGAACAGCAUUGUCGGAUUACAGUAAAAACGACCAAAU